GAUGAACGCUGGCGGCGUGCCUAAUACAUGCAAGUCGAGCGAACAGACGAGGAGCUUGCUCCUCUGACGUUAGCGGUGGACGGGUGAGUAACACGUGGAUAACCUACCUAUAAGACUGGGAUAACUUCGGGAAACCGGAGCUAAUACCGGAUAAUAUAUUGAACCGCAUGGUUCAAUAGUGAAAGACGGUUUUGCUGUCACUUAUAGAUUGAUCCGCGCCGCAUUAGCUAGUUGGUAAGGUAACGGCUUACCAAGGCAACGAUGCGUAGCCGACCUGAGAGGGUGAUCGGCCACACUGGAACUGAGACACGGUCCAGACUCCUACGGGAGGCAGCAGUAGGGAAUCUUCCGCAAUGGGCGAAAGCCUGACGGAGCAACGCCGCGUGAGUGAUGAAGGUCUUCGGAUCGUAAAACUCUGUUAUUAGGGAAGAACAAAUGUGUAAGUAACUAUGCACGUCUUGACGGUACCUAAUCAGAAAGCCACGGCUAACUACGUG
Molecule: ribosomal RNA, 497 nt
Filed under: uncultured bacterium
Lineage: Bacteria
Description: partial 16S ribosomal RNA
Rfam family: Bacterial small subunit ribosomal RNA
Source: RNAcentral